AAAAGAAAAAGGAGAAAUUGUUAGAUACGGUCCGGUGCAAUGAGUGUAUAUAUAUACAUUAUUGUAUAAUAUCUCCCCAUUGCUUCCUUAAUCUCAUCACUGUUACUCUCUUCCCUGCCCAUCAAUUUCCACUGCCCCUUUUUUCUUCGCGCUCGGUGUGGCGUCUACGCCGUCUCAUGGCCGUUCCAACCACCUCCUCUACCUCCACCACCAUCAGCGAUCUCCCUGAUGUCAUUUUAUCGAACAUUUUUGCUUCCAUAUCCGACACUCGAACACGAAACUCUCUUUCUCUAGUGAACCGCAAGUUCUUAACUCUUGAGAGAGCCACGCGCACCUCCCUUACGCUCCGAGGCAACGCGCGCGACUUUUAUAUGAUUCCGACUUGUUUCAGAUCCGUCACUCACCUAGACCUUUCUCUACUCUCUCCAUGGGGUCACUCUUUGCUCGCUUCCUCGCCGCUUUCCGAUCCUUUCCUCCUGGCGCACCGCCUCGGCGUUGCAUUUCCGCUUGUUACGUCACUGACUGUUUACGCUCGAUCUCCGUCCACUUUGCAGAUCCUCCUCCUUCAGUGGCCGCGAUUGUGCUCAGUGAAGCUCGUCCGGUGGCAUCAACGACCGUCGUCGCCUUAUCUGGGAGCGGAUAUUGCUCCGUUGUUCGAGCAAUGUGAAGGGCUUACUUGUCUGGAUCUCUCGAAUUUCUACUACUGGUCGGAGGAUCUUCCUCCGGUUCUCCAAGCGUAUCCUGAUGUUUCCAAGUCCUUGAAAUGCUUGGAUCUGCUCACGGUUUCAUUAACUGAUGGAUUUAAGGCACACGAGAUUCUUGCAAUCACUGCUGCUUGUUCAAAUCUCACCAAGUUUCUGGUUGCUUGCAUGUUUGAUCCGAGUUAUAUUGGAUUCAUUGGAGAUGAGACGUUGCUCGCGAUUGCAGCGAAUUGUCCCAAGUUAUCGGUUCUUCAUCUGGUUGAUACGUCGUCGUUGGGGAACACCAGGAGUGAUCCUGACGAUGACGGGUAUACUGGGGAGGAUGCGAGGGUUAGUGUUGCAGGGUUGGUGGAUUUUUUCUCAGGGCUUCCAUUGCUUGAAGAGCUAGGUCUUUGUGUUUGCAAGAAUGUUAGAGAUACUGCUGUGGCUUUGGAAGCUCUUAAUUCUCGGUGUCCAAAGUUGAAAUUGCUAAAAUUACAACAAUUUCAUGGUAUUUGCAUGGCAGUGGAGUCGCAGCUUGAUGGGGUUGCACUGUGUUCGAGGCUGGAGUCAUUGUCCAUCAACAAGUCUGCAGAUUUGACAGACAUGGGCUUGAUAGAGAUUGCGAGAGGAUGUUGUAGAUUGGCAAAGUUUGAAGUUGAGGGAUGCAAGAAGAUUACUAUGAGGGGCAUCAGGACAAUGGCUUGUUUGCUUCACAAGACUCUUGUUGAGGUCAAGAUCUCUGCUUGUAAGAAUCUCAAUGCUGUUGCAUCUUUGCGAGCAUUGGAGCCUAUUCGCCAUCGAAUUGAGAGACUUCAUAUUGAUUGUAUGUGGGAUGCUCUGCAAGAAGAGGACAAUUAUGCUGCUACUUGUGGUUUCAACCUCAAUGAAGCCCUCUUUGGAAAUGCUGAACAUGAUUAUUCCAAGAGCAAUAAAAGAAUCAAGUAUUCUGCCGAUGCUUUGUAUUUGCAAAGCAAUAGAGAUGGAUUUUGGAGCAAGUCCUGGGAUAAACUCGUAUAUCUCUCUCUCUGGAUUGGUGUUGGCGAGCUUCUAACUCCUUUGCCAAUGGCUGGUCUUGAGGAUUGUCCUAAUUUGGAGGAGAUUCGUAUCCGGGUUGAAGGGGAUUGCAGAGGCCGGCACAAACCAUUACAGAGAGCAUUUGGAUUGUGCUGCCUUGCCCAAUAUCCCCGUCUGUCAAAGAUGCAGUUGGAUUGCAGCGACACAACAGGUUUCGCAUUAACUGCCCCGUCCGGACAAAUGGAUCUGAGCUUGUGGGAGAGAUUUUUCUUGAAUGGGAUAGGGAAUUUGAGUCUCAAUGAGCUUGAUUAUUGGCCACCACAAGACAAAGAUGUAAACCAAAGGAGUCUGUCCCUUCCAGGAGCUGGGUUGCUUGCAGAAUGUCUCACAUUGAGGAAGCUAUUUAUCCAUGGAACAGCUCAUGAGCAUUUCAUGAUGUUCCUUCUCCGAAUCCCAAACCUACGGGAUGUCCAACUUAGGGAAGACUACUAUCCGGCACCAGAGAACGAUAUGAGCACAGAAAUGAGAGUGGGUUCAUGCAACCGGUUUGAAGAUGCCUUAAACAGCCGCCAUAUUCUCGACUGAAAUAUGAGAAUGAUCAAUACAAGGUGAUCAUCACAAUUAAGACUCAAAAGCUUUCGCAUUUAUUAAGGAUGCGAUUUGUUUGUGCUAAAAAUUGAGAAAGACCUUAUUCACGUUUAGCUAUUCUCUUUUUUAUCUUUUUUUGGUAGUUUCGUGCAGAAAGAAAGAAACCAUAAAUUAUAUGCAAUUUCCAACAGUUAAAAUUGACAAAAAAAAUAAAAAGUGCCUUAUUAUCCCCUUUUCCAUUGCACAGAAAGAUUCAAUGGUUCCAUUGAAAUCCGAAAACUGAAGCUUUCAAGACAGUUUACACCAGAGCCGAAACACAUCGCAAAGCCUCUACA
This 2620-nucleotide unclassified non-coding RNA is filed under the name Hevea brasiliensis (rubber tree). The record is from RNAcentral. Lineage: Eukaryota; Viridiplantae; Streptophyta; Magnoliopsida; Malpighiales; Euphorbiaceae.